UAGGGCAAUUGCUACAAUGUGGGAUGGUGUUGAGAACCUGGGCAAGGACUUCAUCCAAGAGAUCAGUGCAGCCCCAAUCUAUUAUUGGAAGGGGAGGACCCCAUACAAUAGUCUGCUGAUGCAGUACGGCUAAUUUUAUGUAUGUCAAAAUAUGCUUGUGUGAUUUUGUGCCCAGUUUCCCACUGCACGUUUGGUAACCAUCUACCUUUUUACCCUGCCUUUGUAAUUUACAUCCAUUUUUUAGAUUUCAUAAUAUUAUCAGUUUUACACCAAUAUCAUGAACGUGUAAGCAAAGCCCCCCUGCUGUCCAACCCAAGCAGAGUGGCAAAAGUUUAAUAUGCUAAAGCUGGAAGUAUCUCCUGACACUUUUCUACUUGUUUCUAUUCCUCUUGACACAUUAAGGGGCACAUAUAUUAAAGGUCAAUUUUUUCUGGUCUGGCUUUUUGUUGGAAAAAACAGAAAAAGUCAAAGAAAAAAAAAGCACAACUUUUUCAGGAUUUGUUAUGCGACGAUACUGUGACAGAUCCGUAUCCAAAUUUACUCCAGCUAAAGCCUGUCAAAGUCAUGCAGAAGACAAUGGCAGAUUGAAGAUGUUUUUUUUGCCUUGAUGAUCUAGGGUUUUGGGCAUUUUGAUGCUGGUUUUUGUGAGAAAAUCCAGUUCUAGUUUUCUAGUUUUUCCAAUGACAAUUCAAAAAAGUUGUUGCAUGAUUUUGUCGAGACUUUUCCGGUAUGUACAUUUGGAUUUUUCUAAACAAUACUAAUCUUUUUUUUGCACGUGACCAUGGCUGAAGAGCUGGAGGAACAUCCAAAUAUCUUCAUCCCUGCGACUCUUGAGAUGUUAAUACCAAUGGGAUACCGGCCUAGGUUCCAUUCCAUACUGACAGCAAUCUGCAAUCCCCGCAGAGUGGAAGAUGCAUAAUAUGCUCUCAAAGUUUUCAAAUGACUUAAGUAAUGGAUUAACCGGAAUGCUUUACAUCAGACAGUUAAUUGAAACGACUAGAACUGACAAAGGGAGUAAAGGGAAUUUCAGCAUUAGAAGAGUUUCAAUCUGUUGGGCUCCUACUACUAAAUCAUUUACAAGGCCAUUUCUCAAUUCUGGAACAUGAAUAGCUAAGCAUGUGGGGUUCACGUUGUAUCAUCCGAGCACUUAUCCCAUUAUGGCCACAGUAGCCUUAUAAAUGUAUUUAAGUGUGCUUAGCUGCUUAUCCUGUAGGGAUUGCUCUACUUAUUGCUAAGCAAGAACAAAGCCAAUUAAGAAUACAUAAAGCCCAAUAUAUCUAAGUACAUAACAAAUGCCUUUUAAAGUGCCACUGUUUUCAGGUAAUAAGUCCCUUUCAUACAAAAGCCUCAAUAAUGCUGUUUAAUUGUCUGCCACAAUGGAGGUUCAUAUUUUAUAUGAAUAGGUACAAUAUGUUAAGUUCUAUGCUUUUAUUCUGUUUACGAGUCUUGUUUGCUAUCAGGGUCUGAGCACAAAUUCCAAAAAAUGGUGAAGUUCACUAUUUUUUUUCCAAGAUUCAAUUUAUUUUUUAAAAUGGUUCUUAUUAGCAGGAACAUUGUAAAUGAUGGACUCGAAGAUACAAAGAUUACAAUAAAGUGGGGUUUGGAUAGAUAAA
Xenopus laevis (African clawed frog) is the source of this 1613-nucleotide long non-coding RNA. RefSeq lists it as uncharacterized. The transcript is spliced from 2 exons. NCBI's taxonomy places the organism in Eukaryota, Metazoa, Chordata, Amphibia, Anura, Pipidae. The record is from RefSeq and is a predicted model, not a curated record.